This 31-nucleotide non-coding RNA is filed under the name Mus musculus (house mouse). The record is from RNAcentral. Lineage: Eukaryota; Metazoa; Chordata; Mammalia; Rodentia; Muridae.
UCCAGUUUGUCUAACAAGCCUGGAGGGUAGA